GGCAGGUGGAAGCUAGACUGCAGAAGUUCCUGAAGGUGAGGUGAGGGGUUGAGACAUGAUUCUGUAUGCUGUGUUUUGUCUGGAAUGGGGAGAUAUGGGAAGUUUAUGACACCAGCCAGGAGCCCUGGGGGUGAUGGAUUCGAAGAAGACAGGGUGCCAACACUGAACCCACAGCUGGCGAAUAACAGCGUAAAGAUGAGGAGGACAUGAACUGGACAGUGGAUGGGGAAACAGGCAGACAGAGAAAGAACCAUGGGAACGGGGCAUUGACUGGCUUUGGCUCAUGGCUCAGUCCUUGGCUUAGAAUCUACAUACUCUGCAAAGUUUGCUAGAUGCAAAACUAUGGAUACGACAAUAUAUAUAUGAUAUAUGAGGAACUAAAGGAUACAACAAAAAAAGGCUUUGGGUUUUAUAACCUGAGCAUCCAGAAGGAUUCCGUAGCAUUAAGCAGACUAAAGAAGACAGAAGGGUCUGAAGUGUGUUUACGGCAUACAGAUGGGAGCUCUGAUCUGCGGUUGCUUGAAGGGCAUCAGUUGCAAAGGGGCAGAUGGGCCGAUGGAAAUGUUCCACACCUUGAUCGAGAUGUUCGGUACCUAGGGUCUAAGCCUUGGAUAACCUUCCAGGAUUCCCUGCCGAUUUCAGAUCUACCGUGCACUGACUACCCAGCUCCCAGCAUGCGCUUCACAGACCUGCAUCCUCAUCCUGGCUCAUGAUGUAAGACCACACGGGGAGAAAUGAGUCACGGUGAAGAAUUCGGGCGAAGGAUGUGGGGACAGGCAGGCUGCUUCAGGCCAGGAGGCGGAGGAGGGCUGCUGAAAGCAAGGACAGGGGCUCUGAAGCUGGCGGGGCUCCAAGGCAGCCUGGCCCCGCUGCACACAACAGCGCCCAUUCAUGCCCUUGCCAAGCCCUCCCCCCACGCUCAGGGCCGACAGUCCCCAGCUGUGCAUGCAGGUGCCCAUUGCUGACAACGUGAGCUGAUGCUGCAAACCUUGGGAGAGGGGCCGGAUGUCUGGAGCACGAACAGCAUUGCCCUGGCCUCCUGUACAGGGCGUGUGACCUCCCCCCGGCGUGCACAGUGGAGGUGGGAAGCGGGAGGUGAGACUGGCCGGCCCGCUAGCCUGGGCAGCAUUUCCCAACCUCGUCAUUAUGAGGGCCUGGCUCCUCCUCUGUGGUGGGGACUGUCCUCUGCACUGCACAUUGCGGAGCGGCACGUCAUGAUCUCACAGUUCGUGACAUGGAGCCCUAUCUUUGGCUCCAUGUGCUGACGGUGUGGAGCCUGCUUCGGAUUCUCUCCUCCUCUCUCUCUGCCCCUCCCCCACUCGUGUUUUU
Molecule: long non-coding RNA, 1329 nt
Organism: Hyaena hyaena (striped hyena)
Lineage: Eukaryota; Metazoa; Chordata; Mammalia; Carnivora; Hyaenidae
Exons: 3
Source: RefSeq, a predicted model, not a curated record